AUUGAACGCUGGCGGCACGCCUAACACAUGCAAGUCGAGCGGAUGAAGGGAGCUUGCUCCUGGAUUCAGCGGCGGACGGGUGAGUAAUGCCUAGGAAUCUGCCUGGUAGUGGGGGAUAACGUCCGGAAACGGGCGCUAAUACCGCAUACGUCCUGAGGGAGAAAGUGGGGGAUCUUCGGACCUCACGCUAUCAGAUGAGCCUAGGUCGGAUUAGCUAGUUGGUGGGGUAAAGGCCUACCAAGGCGACGAUCCGUAACUGGUCUGAGAGGAUGAUCAGUCACACUGGAACUGAGACACGGUCCAGACUCCUACGGGAGGCAGCAGUGGGGAAUAUUGGACAAUGGGCGAAAGCCUGAUCCAGCCAUGCCGCGUGUGUGAAGAAGGUCUUCGGAUUGUAAAGCACUUUAAGUUGGGAGGAAGGGCAGUAAGUUAAUACCUUGCUGUUUUGACGUUACCAACAGAAUAAGCACCGGCUAACUUCGUG
Molecule: ribosomal RNA, 484 nt
Filed under: uncultured bacterium
Lineage: Bacteria
Description: partial 16S ribosomal RNA
Rfam family: Bacterial small subunit ribosomal RNA
Source: RNAcentral